RNAcentral lists this ribosomal RNA (253 nucleotides) under uncultured bacterium. RNAcentral describes it as "partial 16S ribosomal RNA". It matches the Rfam family "Bacterial small subunit ribosomal RNA", at positions 524 to 776 of the family's 1533-position model. The record is from RNAcentral.
GACGUAGGAUGCGAGCGUUAUUCGGAUUUACUGGGCGUAAAGAGCGCGCAGGCGGUCGUUCAAGUCGCGUGUGAAAGCCCCCGGCUCAACUGGGGAGGGUCACGCGAUACUGAUCGACUCGAAGGCAGGAGAGGGUAGUGGAAUUCCCGGUGUAGUGGUGAAAUGCGUAGAUAUCGGGAGGAACACCAGUGGCGAAGGCGACUACCUGGCCUGUUCUUGACGCUGAGGCGCGAAAGCUAGGGGAGCAAACGGG